Molecule: ribosomal RNA, 498 nt
Filed under: uncultured bacterium
Lineage: Bacteria
Description: partial 16S ribosomal RNA
Rfam family: Bacterial small subunit ribosomal RNA
Source: RNAcentral
AUUGAACGCUGGCGGCAUGCCUUACACAUGCAAGUCGAACGGUAACAGGUCUUCGGAUGCUGACGAGUGGCGAACGGGUGAGUAAUACAUCGGAACGUGCCUAGUAGUGGGGGAUAACCACUCGAAAGAGUGGCUAAUACCGCAUGAGAUCUACGGAUGAAAGCAGGGGAUCGCAAGACCUUGUGCUACUAGAGCGGCCGAUGGCAGAUUAGGUAGUUGGUGGGAUAAAAGCUUACCAAGCCGACGAUCUGUAGCUGGUCCGAGAGGACGAUCAGCCACACUGGAACUGAGACAAGGCCCAGACGCCUACGGGAGGCAGCAGUGCGGAAUUUUGGACAAUGGGCGCAAGCCUGAUCCAGCAAUGCCGCGUGCAGGAUGAAGGCCUUCGGGUUGUAAACUGCUUUUGUACGGAACGAAAAGCCCCGGGUUAAUACCCUGGGGUCAUGACGGUACCGUAAGAAUAAGCACCGGCUAACUACGUGCCAGCAGCCGCCGUAA